Long non-coding RNA from Pygocentrus nattereri (red-bellied piranha), 2252 nucleotides. The record is from Ensembl. NCBI's taxonomy places the organism in Eukaryota, Metazoa, Chordata, Actinopteri, Characiformes, Serrasalmidae.
AUCAAGAAGAAGAAAAAGUGGAGAGCAAGAAAACGGAAGAGACAGCAGGAAAAAGAACCGGCAGUGGACGUAGGAAGAGCCGAAGAACUCCAAGUAGCCCCACAGCCGGCAGCGGGAGAGGAGGGCAGCGAUGGUCCACACCUCCCAGCAGGUACUGUGUGUGGUAGCUUGGAGAGAAUCUCUGCUGGGUCAGUGGAGAAGAUGGAACCUCCUCUACUUGAGGACUUCCACUCCACAAAGGCCAUUCCUGGAGCCAGCAAUGAUCCAGCAGGAAAUUUGCUGGAUCAGAUCGAGGCUGAAGCCGAGGCCGAGGCCAUUAAAGCGCUCAUGUCCACUGACCUGGAUGAGGAGGCGGACAACAACCAACCUCUGGAGAAUCAGACGACGAGCAGUGAAGCAGAAGCCAUCGAACAACUGAUGGAAGCCUUACUGCAGGAGGUUGAGGCACACAGCGCCGCUCUGACUGAAACAGAAGAACUGAUGAACGACGUUCCUGCAAAUGAAGUCAAAGCAGAGGAACAAGAGAGAAACAUCAGCUCAGAGACAUGUGAGACAACUGAAGCAGACAAAGAAGACCUCUCUACGCGAAUAUCAGGAGACAGAGGCAUCCAAGUGGGAGGUGUCGAUCAGUCGCGACACCAGCAAGCAUUUGGAGAGAAAAGAACUCUGUCAGAGAACUCAGGACCCUGUGAAAGAGCACCGGAAACGGAUCCUCAGGAGCAGAGGAGGGCGCAGAGAAAGGAGGGUAGGAGAGAGUCAUGCCACUGGACAGUUAAACAUGCUCUGAAGACCCUACAAGCCCCUCCCGAGGAAAAGAGUGCUCCACAGAGGGAGUACAGAACACAGCCUGAGAACCCAAGAAGCUGUGUACGAGCACCUAACACUGAUCCUCAGCAGCAGAGGAGGGCGCAGAGAAAGGAGGGUAGGAGAGAGUCAUGCCACUGGACAGUUAAACAUGCUCUGAAGACCCUACAAGCCCCUCCCGAGGAAAAGAGUGCUCCACAGAGGGAGUACAGAACACAGACUGAGAACCCAAGAAGCUGUGUACGAGCACCUAACACUGAUCCUCAGCAGCAGAGGAGGACACAGAGGAAGGAGGAUAGGGGGGAGGUGCGUCAUUGGACAUUUAAAUAUGCUCUGAAGACCCUCCAAGCCCCUCCUGUCAGUGCUCCACAGACAGACAGUAGAGAGUGUCUCAGAGUCAGAACAGCUGACAUCAGGCAGAAGACCCAUCCCACACCACCAAACAAGCCGAGAGACAGAGGAUGUCGAAAGGGCGAGUAUGGGAGAGGAGCUGCCCAGGGCUGGCAGAGCGAGUCCUGUUGCCAGAGGAGGGACGCUCCACGAACUCCUUCAAACAACGGAGGACGUGUGAGCGAGAGAGGAAAGAGAGGAAAUCCCGCUCAGUGUACCCCUGCACGCACUGAGAGGAAUCAACGGACUGUGAGAGAACCCAACUGGCAGCAGCACGAAGACCGCUCUGCAGAACCUGAAGAGAGAGAGACCAGAGACAGAGGCCAGAAAAAGAAAUGGUCAAAUGGAAACAGGCAGUGGAGGAGUGGGAGAAGACCGGAUGCCUCACAUUGACCAGUGAAAAACCCACAGAAGGUGAAGCACAGGUCAUUAAAGAUCUAGUGCUCACUGACCUACAGAGACACAGACUGACAGACUGACUCAGACUAGAACUCCACCUCUACACUACAACCAAACCAAUCAUCACAAACAGCUGCUGCUUAUUCAUGGUAAAGCAGGAGAUGAGAUGCUUGAGGUGGUGCCCACAGGAGAUGAAGCACGGGUCAUUAAAUCUGCUAUUAAUAUUAUUAGUAUAAUCAUUUGUAGGUAGCUUGACCAGAGGAGGAUGGGUCCCCCCCUGGUGAGCCUGGUUCCUCCCAAGGUUUCUUCCUCAGCUCUGAGGGAGUUUUUCCUUGCCACUGUCUGCCUUGGCUUGCUCACCUGGGGGUUUUUACACUUCUUGUUAAAACUCUUUCUUUUCUGGAAUUCUGUGAAGCUGCUUUACGACAACAUCCGUUGUAAAAAGCGCUACACAAAUCAAUUUGAUUUGAUUUGUUUAAAGAUCUAGUGCUCUUUGACCUACAGAUACACAGACUGACAGACUGACUCUGACUAGAACUUCAACUCUGCACUACAAUCAAACAAAUCCAUCUCUCAAACAGCCAUCCCACCGGAGAGAAAUCAACAGAACAACACUUUUAAAGCUUAAAGCCAAUAAAAGACUAACAGCAGACUCUGUU